RNAcentral lists this microRNA precursor (98 nucleotides) under Equus asinus (donkey). RNAcentral describes it as "mir-544 microRNA precursor family". It matches the Rfam family "mir-544 microRNA precursor family". RNAcentral also lists the same sequence under 1 other name. The record is from Rfam by way of RNAcentral. Lineage: Eukaryota; Metazoa; Chordata; Mammalia; Perissodactyla; Equidae.
AUCACCUGGGGAUCUUGGUAAAAUGCAGAUUCUAAUUCAGUGGGUCUAGGGUGGAACUCAAGAUUCUGCAUUUCUAAUAAGCUCCCAGAUGAGGCCUA